AUUGAACGCUGGCGGCAUGCCUUACACAUGCAAGUCGAACGGUAGAGUAGCAAUACUUGAGAGUGGCGAACGGGUGAGUAAUAUAUCGGAACGUGCCCAGUCGUGGGGGAUAACGUAGCGAAAGUUACGCUAAUACCGCAUACGAUCUAAGGAUGAAAGCGGGGGAUCGCAAGACCUCGCGCGAUUGGAGCGGCCGAUAUCAGAUUAGGUAGUUGGUGAGGUAAAAGGCUCACCAAGCCAACGAUCUGUAGCUGGUCUGAGAGGACGACCAGCCACACUGGAACUGAGACACGGUCCAGACUCCUACGGGAGGCAGCAGUGGGGAAUUUUGGACAAUGGACGCAAGUCUGAUCCAGCAAUGCCGCGUGCAGGAUGAAGGCCU
RNAcentral lists this ribosomal RNA (382 nucleotides) under uncultured bacterium. RNAcentral's name for it is "bacterial SSU rRNA". It matches the Rfam family "Bacterial small subunit ribosomal RNA", at positions 30 to 417 of the family's 1533-position model. The record is from RNAcentral.